Long non-coding RNA from Betta splendens (Siamese fighting fish), 6937 nucleotides. RefSeq lists it as uncharacterized. Lineage: Eukaryota; Metazoa; Chordata; Actinopteri; Anabantiformes; Osphronemidae. The record is from RefSeq and is a predicted model, not a curated record. The transcript is spliced from 3 exons.
GUGCUUUGGAAGGAUUGCGUUUGGACAAGAAACAGUAAAAACUAUUUUACAAGUAAUAGAAGCAUAGUUAUUCUUUUGUUAAUUGCGAUACCAGUCUCUGCACCAAUGCCGACUUUUCUUCCUCUUACUUUACUAGUUUGCUUCAGUUCUGAAUUCAUGUUUGCUCAUUUUCGCUCUUGUUGCAAUGCUAGCUGAACAACUGCAACUGUGAAAAAACACAUAAGCAGAUUCAAUUCAAUUCAAUUUUGUUUAUAUAGCGCCAAAUCACAACAAAGUUAUCUCAAGGCACUUUACAAAGUAAGGUUUAAGACCUUACACAACUAAACCCAACAAAUCCCACAUACAGCAAGCAUUUAAUUUGACAGCAACAGUAGAGAAAAAAAACCUCCAGAAACCUCCAGCAGAACCAGGCUGGAUGUGGGCGGCCAUCUGCUUCGACCGGUUGGGGUGAGGGGAUAGAGAGAGAGAAAAGCACAGCAAAAAUAACAAACAACAACAGAGCACAGGCAGGACGGUUGGACCAGGGACUGGAUACAGGCAGGAUGGUUGGAUCCGCAGCUGCCCAUCACAGACACCAAACUUUGAGUCCAAUGAUACUUGUAGGUGAGGACAGAGUGGAGGAGAGAGAAAGAGAGAGAGAAAGAGAGAGAGAGAGACCGGGAGAGAAGCACAACUACUGGAGAGAAAGAGACAUAGUUAGUUGAACAUAGAACAAUGAUGAGAGGUUAUUGGACAGAAGAGGUAGAAGGAAACAGAGGAGCUCAGUGUAUAAAGUAAGUCCCCCAGCAGUCUAUGUCAAUUGCAGCUUAACUAAGAGAUGGUUCCUGUGACUAACAAUCAUUGCCAGUGACCUGACUCAUCUCUAAGUAUAAGCUUUAUCAAAAAGGAAGGUUUUAAGCCUGAUGUUAAAAGUGGAGUGUUUUAGCUUCUCAAACCUGAAGAGGGAGCUUGUUCCAGAGAAGAGGAGCUUGGUAGCUAGAAGCUCUGCCUCCCGUUUUACAUUUAAAGACUCUAGGAACCACAAGUAGCCCAGCGCUCUCAGAACGAAGCGUUCUGCUGGGAGCAUAAGGAACUAUGAGAUCUUUAAGAUAAGCUUUAUCAUUGAGUACUUUGUAGGUGAGUAGGAGAAUUUUAAAUUCUAUCCUACAUUUUACAGGCAGCCAGUGCAGAGAAGCUAAUGUAGGAGUCCUAUCAGAACUCAAGCAUCCUUUCCUUUCAUUAAACGUCCUGCUAAUUUUCACUGUUAUCUAAGUGUUUUCUCUGCUAGCAUAGCUCCUAGCUUACUUUCCUGCUAUGGCUUCCCCCUUUUCCUCUCCCUCUUGCUCUGUUCAGUGCUCGGUGUGUCUUAUGUUUAGCUUAUCCUCUGCCUCCUUUAGUGAUGGUAAUGGUAUCUGUAAUAGGUGUACGCUAGUUGCAGGGUUGGAGGCGGGGUUGUUAUACUUAGAGUCUGGGCUUCGCACCUUAGAAAACAGGCCAGCUAGCCAGGUCCCUUCAGCCGGUGCAGAGCCUACUAGCUUAGCUGGUACCAGCCCCCCAGCCAGCCCCAGGCAGCUGGGUAACGUCUGAGUCACGGCUCGUAAGAAACGUAGCUUUAGGCAGGCGCCCACGGUGUCUAAGGAUAAGCGUAAGUUCGCUAAGAUCGUAAUACACACAGGAGCUAAUGACGCCCGGUUACGCCAAUCGGAAGUCACUAAAACUAAUAUUGAGUCGGGUUGUUCAUUCGCCAAAACAAUGUCAGACUCUUUAGUUUUCUCUGGACCCCUCCCCAAUGUGACCAGCGAUGACAUGUAUAGCCGGCUGUCAUUGCUCCACCGCUGGUUGUCUAGGUGGUGUCCUGCAAACGAUGUGGGCUUUGUGGCUAAUUGAAGCACUUUUUGGGGAAAACCUGGGCUGAUUAGAAGAGAGGGCAUCCUACGUUGAACGGAGCCUCUCUGCUUUCUAGUAAAAUGGCCAUGUUGCUUAGUCUCCCUACUCUGUGACAACUCAGAGUGGAGCCCAGAACGCAAAGUCGCAGUCUUACACGCCUCUCUGCACGUUCUCUACAGCCGCCACCCACUCUUAGUCUUAGUUAUCGCAUAGAGACUGUGUCUGCUCCCUGACCACUUAAACUAUACAAGUCACAAACAAAUCAGAGGAGUGACUUACCAGAAUUUAAUAAACAUCAAAACAGUUCCUCUUACAGAACAAAGUAACAGUAAGUUAAUAAAGUGUGGUUUAUUAAAUAUCAGAUCUCUCUCAUCUAAAUCCGUGUUAAUAAAUGACUUGAUAAGUGACCAUCACAUAGAUCUGUUCUCUCUCACUGAAACCUGGCUGCAGCAGGAUGAAUAUGUUACUUUAAAUGAGUCGGCUCCAAUGAGUCACAUAACCUAUCAUGUUCCUAGAAUUACAGGUAAAGGUGGAGGAGUAGCAGCAAUUUAUAAUUCAGAUUUAUUAAUUACUCCUAAACCUAAACAUAGUUCUAACACAUUUGAGAGCCUCACUCUGAGCCUUUCUCACCCAGACUCGUAAAACUCAGAAGCCAGUUGUGUUUUGUAUUGUUUACCGUCCUCCUGCUCCAUAUUCAGAGUUCUUAACUGAAUUCUCUGAAUUCUUAUCUGACUUAGUUCUUAGCACAGAUAAAGUCAUUGUAGUGGGAGACUUUAACAUUCAUGUAGAUGUUGACAGCAACUGUCUCAGCACUGCUUUUAACUCCUUAAUAGACACUAUUGGUUUUACACAGCAGGUAAAUGAACCCACUCAUCGUUUUAACCAUACCCUAGAUCUUGUCCUGACAUAUGGGGUUGAAAUUGAUAAUUUAAUAGUUCUUCCCCAAAACCCUCUGUUAUCUGACCAUUUCUUAUUAACUUUUGAAUUUAGCACAACUGACCCUAUAACAGCUGGAAAGAAAUGUUACUAUAGCAGAUGUUUAUCUGACAACGCUGUUGCCAGAUUCAAGCAGAUGAUUCCAUCAUCUUUUGCCUCAAUGUCUUGUAGAUACACAGAGGACAAGUAACCUUAAUCCUUAUGAACAGGUUGACUGUCUUGUAAAUGAUGCUGCAACUUCUAUACGUACAAUGUUAGACACAGUGGCUCCUCUGAAGAAGAAGGCAGUGAAUCAGAGGAGGUUAGCUCCGUGGUAUAACUCAGAGAUCCACAGCCUAAAGCACAGGACCAGACAACUAGAAAGACAGUGGCGUUCCAAUAAAAUAAAUGUAAACUGCAUUGCAUGAAAGGACAGUCUAAUAAUAUUUAAAAAAAACACUUCAUGCUUCUAGAAAAACAUAUUCCUCCUUAAUUGAUGAAAACAAAAACAACCCCAGGUUUCUUUUCAGCGCUGUAGCCAGGCUGACUAAGAGUCAUAGCUUUGUUAAGUCUAUUAUCCCCUUAAAUCUCAGCAGCAAUGACUUUAUGAACUACUUUACUAAUAAAAUUAUCAUCAUUAGAGAAGACAUUCAGCAGCGACUUCUUCCAAAUGACAGAAAGCACUGUCUAGAUCCAUCAACUUUAAAUUUACCAAAUCCUCUGUCUUACCUAGACAGUUUCUUCCCCAUAACUCAUAUGGAGUUAACCUCAAUAAUCAACUCUUCCAAGUCAUCCACUUGUCUUUUAGAUCCAAUCCCAACCAGUUUACUCAAAUAAGUUCUACCUUUAAUCAGCUUGUCCACAUUAAGUCAAAUCAACCAAUCUUAACAUUUAGGCAGACUUUUAAGGUAGCUGUGAUCAAACCUGUAUUAAAAAAGCCAACCCUGGACCCUGGAGAACUAGCCAACUAUAGGCCCAUUUCAAAUUUACCGUUUAUUUUCAAGAUUCUUGAAAAAAUCCUGGCUAAACAAUUAUCUGACCACCUGAGUGGGAAUAACCUGUACGAAGAUUUUCAGUCAGGAUUUAGAAAACAUCAUAGCACAGAAACAGCUUGGUUUAGAGUCACUAGUGAUCUCUUGUUAGCUUCAGACAAUGGUCUAGUUUCUGUCCUUGUCCUGUUAGAUCUUAGUGCUGCAUUUGAUGCAAUUGAUCAUAACAUUCUAUUACAGACACUAGAACAUAGAAUCAGGAUUAAAGGAACAGCAUUGGGAUGGUUUAUAUCCUAUUUGUUGAACAGAUUCCAGUUUGUUCAUGUUAAUGAGAAAUUCUCCACAUGCACAAGGAUUAGCUAUGGAGUACCACAGGGUUCUGUGCUUGGUCCAAUUCUCUUUAGCCUAUACAUGUCUCCUCUAGGUGAGAUUAUUAGAAAGCAUUCUAUUAAUUUUCAUAGCAGAUGAUACUCCAAAACCAAACCAAAUAAAACAGAUCAACUAGUGAAAAUUCAGGGUUGUUUAAAAGACAUCAAAUCCUGGAUGUCCCAAAACGUCCUUCAACUAAAUUCAGAUAAAACUGAAAUUCUUAUUGUUGGGCCUAAAAAUCUGAGAGAGACACUAUUGAGUCAGAUAGCCACCCAGGAUGGCAUAACAUUAGCUUCAGAUUCUACUGUAAGAAAGCUUGAUGUCAUCUUUGAGGUCACAUUAAGACACUCCUGGUGUGUUAGAAGUGCGCCCCCUACUUAUUUCACAUUUUUUUAGAGUUUAUCCAAUCCGGUUCAAGAACCAUCGUUUCAAAUUUGGCGGCCUCGAUACGUCUGCAUUUGCGCUGACCAAUCACAGAACCAGCUUCGUCCCCCCACCCCCAGACAAACCUGGAUCCGUAAAUGUACCUGAAACAUUUUGUUUCAGUCACUUCAGUCACAGGCAAAAGAAGAAGUCACUCACUGCGCAGUCUACCAUAGGAGGUGGCGCUAAUGCACCUUUAGUUGGUUGCCACCCGCCAUUUAAAAGACAAAAAUAAGAAGUCACUCAGGUUGAAGAAGCGUCCACUUGCUGCUUCCCCAAAUGCUGACGCAUGCCAGCUACCGAAACGCAAGGAGGUUGCUUCUCAAACUGACACGCGGCUACCUUGUAGAAGAGUAGAAGAGUGCUCACCUCAGGAGCAAAGAGUGGUGUCAAGGAAAACAGCUGCAUCCUCCAUCUGUACAGCAGCUGCACUGCUUCCGAUGUCUUCCAACACGUGAAGACAAAAAACAUCCUCACAUCUCCCCAGCCACCUGCCCAUGACUAUACCUGUUCCACUCCAGAAACUAUGCUUUUAACAUAACUAUGAAUCCUACCCGUUCAUUUUGUGGUCUGCAAAUUGAACUGUGACGGUAACUUAUCCAGCAUUAUAGUGCUGGUGCAUUGGUUAAAAAUAAAGUUGGCUUUGACUAUUGCUGUUUCACUUAACUAUUUUUGUAUGUAUAUACCUAAUGAGGGAAAACAGACAAAUGUUUUAUAAUAUUUCAGCUUUUAUUGAGGUAUUGCCAAAAAAAUAAUAAUUUAGGUAUUUCACAGGUGGUCUAAGUCCAACAUAGGUGCCUUGUCCCUCAGAAAACACUGCCCUGAUUCAGACUAGGGAAGGUGGGAUGACUAGGACUCUUCGCUCUAGAAGUCCCCAGCACCAGCUGACAAGACUUUUAGGCUAGAUACCUGCAACAACUUGAGAUACACAUAGACAUAGUACUAAAAAAAACAAUAACUACAUUUCUCUUUUAUAUUAGCAUUUGAUAUAUCAUACACCUUACUAAAAGCAAUUAAAAAAUAUUAGGUCAAUAUAUAUUUAGAAACAAAACUAUGUUUGUACACCAGAGUUCCCAGGUACAUUAUGAAUAAUCUGUAAAUAGUAAAAUGUUUUAAAGUUUUUUUUUGAAUUUCUGAGUUACUGAUUUAUUCCAUGCAUGUGUAAUUGUCUGAUAUACUGUAUAUUAAAUGUGUUCUGUAAUGAAUACACAUUCAAUCAUACUGGCUCCAGUCCUGGAUCAUCAACCAUACAUGACAAUAGGUUUGGCAACUAGUUCAGGCGUUUUGAGGUAAGAUUUAUCGAAAUUUUAAUUUAUUAAUAAAAGUAAUAAACACAUGCAAUAUCUUGAAAGCAAUAGUUGCUGUUACACCAUGCCUCUGUAGGCGUUCACUGUUCCUACAUUGGGACUUAAUUACAGACAUAUACGGCAAAAUAUAAGCUGCAGCUGCUACAGCAGCAGAACGAGAAAAAAAAACAUUUAAAAAUGAGUUUAUUAGUUUAUUAAGCUAUGCUCCCAAACAAGCUGCAGUCGUGUUAUGAAUAUUCUGUUGUAUUAAUUCAGGCUGCUAAUUUGCAACCAUUAGUAUUAGCGUUAGCAGCUAAUCAAGUUGCGUAUUAUAUAAAUCAAAUUAAAUUAAACAUGAAUUUGCCAGUUAGACGUACCUUGCGCCAGUCAACGUGUAACCACUUCAACAGCCUCCCAUUCGACUUCAGAGUCAGAUUUUGGAUCAAACGUAUGGUUGAACUCCACUACAAGGACGAGUUAGCCAGUGUCACUUUUACAAUGGAUUCAGUGACCGUGACUUUUGAUUCCCGCGGCGGAUCACCGCUAUCCGCUUCCUCAAAGGGGUGUGGCGAUCAGUUUAGCUUCCGACACACUUAAAAGAGCUUAAAACACACAUUUUCAGACGGGCCGUGUGGGCGAUCUACAGUGCUUUUUGGCAUGAAAAGUUACAGACACCUUACUGAGACAUCAAGGUCCAAUUCUUUAGCAAUGUGGAGCAUGAAAAAAGCGUGUGCAUGGAUCUUUAACUCCAUAUGAGUUAUGGGGAAGAAGCUGUCUACGUAAGACAGAGGAUUUAAUAAAUUUAAAGUUGAUGGAUCUAGACAGUGCUUUCUGUCAUUUGGAAGAAGUUGCUGCUGAAUGUCUUCUCUAAUGGUGAUAAUUUUAUUAGUAAAGUAGUUCAUAAGGUCAUUGCUGCUGAGAUUUAAGGAGAUAGAAGGCUCAACACAGCUAUGACUCUCAGUCAGCCUGGCUACAGUGCUGAAAAGAAACCUGGGGUUGUUUUAUUUUACUCAAUCAAGGUGGAAUAAUAUGUUUUUCUAGCAGCACGAAGCACUUUAUUAUAUAUUAUUAAACUGUCCUUCCAUGCAA